Molecule: ribosomal RNA, 465 nt
Filed under: uncultured bacterium
Lineage: Bacteria
Description: bacterial SSU rRNA
Rfam family: Bacterial small subunit ribosomal RNA
Source: RNAcentral
AUGAACGCUGGCGGCGUGCUUAACACAUGCAAGUCGAACGGUGAAGCCCAGCUUGCUGGGUGGAUCAGUGGCGAACGGGUGAGUAACACGUGAGCAACCUGCCCCUGACUCUGGGAUAAGCGCUGGAAACGGCGUCUAAUACUGGAUACGAGACGUGAUCGCAUGGUCAACGUUUGGAAAGAUUUAUCGGUGCAGGAUGGGCCCGCGGCCUAUCAGCUUGUUGGUGGGGUAAUGGCCUACCAAGGCGACGACGGGUAGCCGACCUGAGAGGGUGACCGGCCACACUGGGACUGAGACACGGCCCAGACUCCUACGGGAGGCAGCAGUGGGGAAUAUUGCACAAUGGGCGGAAGCCUGAUGCAGCGACGCCGCGUGAGGGAUGAAGGCCUUCGGGUUGUAAACCUCUUUCAGCAGGGACGAAGCGUGAGUGACGGUACCUGCAGAAGAAGCACCGGCUAACUACGU